CAGCCGCCGCGGGAAUACGAAGGGUGCAAGCGUUAAUCGGAAUUAUUGGGCGUAAAGCGCGCGUAGGUGGUUCAGUAAGUUGGAAGUGAAAUCCCCGGGCUCAACCUGGGAACUGCUUUCAAAACUGCCGAGCUAGAGUACGGUAGAGGGUGGUGGAAUUUCCUGUGUAGCGGUGAAAUGCGUAGAUAUAGGAAGGAACACCAGUGGCGAAGGCGACCACCUGGACUGAUACUGACACUGAGGUGCGAAAGCGUGGGGAGCAAACAGGAUUAGAUACCCGUGUAGUCCCUGUCUCUUAUAA
Molecule: ribosomal RNA, 301 nt
Filed under: uncultured bacterium
Lineage: Bacteria
Description: partial 16S ribosomal RNA
Rfam family: Bacterial small subunit ribosomal RNA
Source: RNAcentral